AUAGUGCGCAUGAAUGUCCUGGCUGAUGUGCUCAAGAGCAUCAACAAUGCCAGAAAGAGAGGCAAACGGCAGGUCCUUAUUAGGCUGUGCUCCAAAGUCAUCGUCUGGUUUCUAAUUGUGAUGCUGAAGUAUGGUAAAUUGGCGAUUUUGAAAUAAUUGAUGAUCACAGCUAGGAAAAUUGCUGUGAACCUCACAGGCAGGCUAAACAAGUGUAGAGUGAUCAGCCCCAGAUUUGAUGUGCAAAUCAGAGAUCUAGAAAAAUGGCAGAUGGCAGAAUAAUCUGCUCCCAUCCUGCCAGUUUGGUUUUAUUGUACUGACAACCUCAGUUGGCAUCAUGGACCAUGAAGAAGCAAGACAGCAACAUAUAGGAGGGAAAAUCCUGGGAUUCUUUUUCUAG
RNAcentral lists this long non-coding RNA (397 nucleotides) under Homo sapiens (human). RNAcentral's name for it is "non-protein coding lnc-KRTCAP3-2:1". Lineage: Eukaryota; Metazoa; Chordata; Mammalia; Primates; Hominidae. The record is from RNAcentral.